This 435-nucleotide ribosomal RNA is filed under the name Triticum aestivum (bread wheat). RNAcentral describes it as "partial small subunit ribosomal RNA". Lineage: Eukaryota; Viridiplantae; Streptophyta; Magnoliopsida; Poales; Poaceae. The record is from RNAcentral.
AUGAAGGUUUCAAAUUAUUAUAGCACCCGUCCAUUAUUAUACUGGUUAUGGCCUCUGCUAUGGAGCUCUAAAAAUUGUUCUACCUUUGAAGAACCUUUGCACAAUUUUGGACGCCAAGACCUUGUGUGGCAUCGCCUACAUAACUAUGGGAUCAGUCUUGGAGUUGUACAUUCUUAUAGCCUUGGAGAGCUCUCUCCUUCUACGAAAAAAGCUAAAAAACAGAAAAAGAAAAAAAGAGAAAAGAGAAAAAAAGAAAAAGAAAAAAGAAAAAAGAGAAAAAGAGAAAAGGGAAAAAAUAAAAGGAAAAAAGGAAAAAGAAAAAAAAGAAAAAAGGAAAAGAAAGGAAAUGCUUUAAAAAAAGAGAGUAAAGCUUUCCAUCUGUUCAGUGUCCGCACGUGUGGUAGUCUUGUGACUUUAUGUGAGGUGUUUGUGUAG